GGGGAUGGGCUGUGGCUCAAUGGUGCAGACUUGGCUUUGGAUGCGGAAGGUCCCAGGUUCAAACCCUGACAUCUCCA
This 77-nucleotide transfer RNA is filed under the name Sphaerodactylus townsendi. RNAcentral's name for it is "tRNA-Pro". Lineage: Eukaryota; Metazoa; Chordata; Lepidosauria; Squamata; Sphaerodactylidae. The record is from RNAcentral.